ACUCAAAGGAAUUGACGGGGACCUGCACAAGCGGUGGAGCGUGUGGUUUAAUUCGACAGCAAGCGAAGAACCUUACCCAGGCUUGACAUCUCUGGAAAGCCCUAGAAACAGGGCCGUGCCGCAAGGAACCAGAUGACAGGUGCUGCACGGUUGUCGUCAGCUCGUGCUGUGAAGUGUCCCGUUCAGUCGGUUAACGAGCGCAACCCCUAUCCUGUGUUGUAUUCUCACAGGAAACUGCCCCAGUUAAUGGGGAGGAAGGUGGGGACGACGUCAAAUCAGCGUGGCUCUUACGCCUGGGGCGACACACGCGCUACAAUGGGGAGUAACAAUGGGUUGCCAAGCCGCAAGGCGGAGCUAAUCCCACCAAACCUCCCCCCAGUUCGGAUUGAGGGCUGCAACUCGCCCCCAUGAAGUCGGAAUCGCUAGUAACGGCCGGUCAGCCAUACGGCCGUGAAUACGUUCUCAGGUCUUGCACACACCGCCCGU
Molecule: ribosomal RNA, 486 nt
Filed under: uncultured bacterium
Lineage: Bacteria
Description: partial 16S ribosomal RNA
Rfam family: Bacterial small subunit ribosomal RNA
Source: RNAcentral